AGCGAAUCCUUAAAAGCCGGUCUCAGUUCGGAUCGGGGUCUGCAACUCGACCCCGUGAAGUCGGAGUCGCUAGUAAUCGCAGAUCAGCAACGCUGCGGUGAAUACGUUCCCGGGCCUUGUACACACCGCCCGUCGCGUCAUGAAAGUCGGUAACACCCGAAGCCAGUGGCCUAACCCUCGGGAGGGAGCUGUCGAAGGUGGGAUCGGCGAUUGGGACGAAGUCGUAACAAGGUAGC
Molecule: ribosomal RNA, 236 nt
Filed under: Mycobacterium tuberculosis
Lineage: Bacteria; Bacillati; Actinomycetota; Actinomycetes; Mycobacteriales; Mycobacteriaceae
Description: partial 16S ribosomal RNA
Rfam family: Bacterial small subunit ribosomal RNA
Source: RNAcentral